ACACACACACACACACACACACACACACACACACACACACACACUGCUCUGGCUCUACUGCAGCUUCACGGUCAUUGUUGGUUCGACCACCUCUAAUUCAAUCAUGUCCCUCGAGCCAUGGGGAUGCAUCGCCAGAGGUCCCAUCCACUAUAAACACAUUUAGGGAUUAUUUAUUUUUAGCUUUAGCUCAGUACUCUCCUGUGUUCGGACCCUAGCUAACUGCAGCUACCCCAGAUGGUUCUGCUAAGGUGGCUGUUUCUGGAUUCCUGCAGAUUGUGGGUUGUAAGUGAAGAAAGGGUUUCUCUCUUUUGGCCUGUCCUUCAUUAUGAGAGAGGUAUUUAUCACAAUCAGACUGACUAACGGAGCUUAACCCUCUGGUCCUCCACACACAGCACUAUGCUACUGUUCUAUGAUGCUGAAGAAAAAAAAAGGUUUUACGUUGUUUACAUGGAACAAGCAAGUGUAGUCAGAGUAUCAGUUACCUUACGCAGCUUCCUCCAUAGCUCAGAGUGGACUUUGGUGGGUUUUACCAGGGGCAAAUCUGAAAUGUCAUCCUAUUUCCUAAGUAGCAUUAUGUUUGGCCGGAGACGGUGUCAUUUUGGACACAACGCAGCAUUGAUGUUUUACUGGCAGAUGGAUGUGUUACUGGCAGACGGAUGUGUUACUGGCAGAAUCUGCUUAGACAAAAACACACUGUAGCCCUUCUCUCAGAUGUAGUCAUCUGUGAAUGAAUCACAUUCACUGAUUCACUGGACCUCAGUGCCUCAGUGUAUUUGGCCUCAUUUGAAUAAGAGGUCAGAGAGAGGACAGAACACCCCAUGUCCCCCCUCUCCCUUCACUCCCUAUUCUCCACACAAACCCAACUACAACUCCUAUUUCCCAGCCUGCACCUCUCUUCCUGUCUGAGUGCUGACCCAGGGGUCGGUAGCUGUCAGUCACGUCCCUCAGCUGGCCUCCGAGGCUCUCCUCUCAUGAGCCGCUGGCCACAGACUGGGCUCUGUGAGGGGACCUCUGAAGGAAAGGCCCAGGCCGGUCAUAUGGGAUCAUCUCUGUGCAUUCAUGGUGUGUAAUUUAAUUACCCCUUCCCUCCUCUUUCUCAUGUUUCCUUCUCCUAUCCUAAUGCAAACCCCAGGUUGGACCGACCGUCACCCUGGUCUAUAGUGAGAGGAAGGGCUUCAGGGGCUGACAGCCAGACAAAGACAGACACAUGUCGACAAUGUGUAUACUCAGGCCCUGACAGAGUUUGGGUUAAUAGUGGGAGUCUCGUAUGAGGAUCGACUGACGAGCAGCUUGUCAACUCUCCAUCUACAUGCUGUUGGAGGAUCAGGAGGAUCACCCACCAUGUCCAUGGAAGGAAGAGGACUAAGACCACAACCAUGGAGGGCAGCAAGGAAGUGGAGAGGGCCAGGACAAGGCAGGGGGAGGAGAGUGCAGGGGAGCCCUUAUCCAGUAUCGGGCAGAGAAGGGGGAAGGGGCAGGAGAAGGGAGCCCUGGGACUCCCAACAGGCUGAACCGAUUUCCUGUGUGGUGUCAUGCCAAGGGUAGGUUCAGAUCAGAGAACCGACCAGGGCUUUAGGCUUUAGAACCCAGUGACAUGUGGUGAGGUCUGAGGCCGUUUUGGCACUUUCUAUUGAGCUUCAUAAAGGCUCAUAAAGCAGAUUUCUGCUACGGUGUUUAUUGCUAUGACACGACCACAAAGAUAACCAUCAAACAACCACAACUAACCACCAUACAGCAGCAGGUAGGUGGUGUAACCAUUACACAAACAUUCACAUAGCUUGUGCACUACACAACUGCCCUGCACAAACAGGUGACUUUCAGCACCACAGACAGCAACCCAAAUGCCAGUGAGCAGGUCUACUUGUAGACAACGACCCAAAUGCCAGUGAGCAGGUCUACUUGUAGACAACGACCCAAAUGUCAGUGAGUAGGACUACUUGUAGACAACGACCCAAAUGUCAGUGAGUAGGACUACUUGUAGACAGCGAACCAAAUGUCAGUGAGUAGGAUGACUUGUAGACAGCGAACCAAAUGUCAGUGAGUAGGAUGACUUGUAGACAGCAACCCAAAUGUCAGUGAGUAGGACUACUUGUAGACAAUGACCCAAAUGCCAGUGAGUUGGCCUACUUGUAGACAAUGACCCAAAUGCCAGUGAGUUGGCCUACUUGUAGACAGCAACCCAAAUGCCAGUGAGUUGGCCUACUUGUAGACAGCAACCCAAAUGUCAGUGAGUUGGCCUACUUGUAGACAGCAACCCAAAUGCCAGUGAGUUGGCCUACUUGUAGACAGAAACCCAAAUGCCAGUGAGUUGGCCUACUUGUAGACAGCAACCCAAAUGCCAGUGAGUAGGACUACUUGUAGACAGCGCCUAGUAGUCACCCCUACUGAUUGAGCUAUGCACUUAGUGGCCAGUUUAUUAGGUACACGCAUCUAGUACCGGGUCAGACCCUCCUUUGCCUCCAGAACAGCCUGAAUUCUUCAGGGCAUGGAAACGUUGCUCCAUUGGUAUCAAGGGACCUAAGGU
This 2524-nucleotide long non-coding RNA is filed under the name Salmo salar (Atlantic salmon). RNAcentral describes it as "lncRNA (ENSSSAG00000111824.1)". The record is from RNAcentral. Lineage: Eukaryota; Metazoa; Chordata; Actinopteri; Salmoniformes; Salmonidae.